RNAcentral lists this ribosomal RNA (484 nucleotides) under uncultured bacterium. Its description in RNAcentral is "partial 16S ribosomal RNA". It matches the Rfam family "Bacterial small subunit ribosomal RNA", at positions 30 to 507 of the family's 1533-position model. The record is from RNAcentral.
AUUGAACGCUGGCGGCAGGCCUAACACAUGCAAGUCGAGCGGAUGAAGGGAGCUUGCUCCUGGAUUCAGCGGCGGACGGGUGAGUAAUGCCUAGGAAUCUGCCUGGCAGUGGGGGAUAUCGUCCGGAAACGGGCGCUAAUACCGCAUACGUCCUGAGGGAGAAAGUGGGGGAUCUUCGGACCUCACGCUAUCAGAUGAGCCUAGGUCGGAUUAGCUAGUUGGUGGGGUAAAGGCCUACCAAGGCGACGAUCCGUAGCUGGUCUGAGAGGAUGAUCAGUCACACUAGAACUGAGACACGGUCCAGACUCCUACGGGAGGCAGCAGUGGGGAAUAUUGGACAAUGGGCGAAAGCCUGAUCCAGCCAUGCCGCGUGUGUGAAGAAGGUCUUCGGAUUGUAAAGCACUUUAAGUUGGGAGGAAGGGCAGUAAGUUAAUACCUUGCUGUUUUGACGUUACCAACAGAAUAAGCACCGGCUAACUUCGUG